UACGUAGGGUGCAAGCGUUGCCCGGAUUUAUUGGGCGUAAAGGGCGCGCAGGCGGCUACGCACGUCCGUUGUGAAAUCGCUCGGCUCAACUGGGCGGGGUCAGCGGAUACGGCGUAGCUGGAGCAAGCUAGGGGGCAAUGGAAUUCCCGGUGUAGUGGUGGAAUGCGUAGAUAUCAGGAAGAACACCAACGGCGAAGGCAGCUCGCUGGGACGGAACUGACGCUAAGGCGCGAAAGCGUGGGGAGCGAACAGG
RNAcentral lists this ribosomal RNA (253 nucleotides) under uncultured bacterium. RNAcentral describes it as "partial 16S ribosomal RNA". It matches the Rfam family "Bacterial small subunit ribosomal RNA", at positions 524 to 776 of the family's 1533-position model. The record is from RNAcentral.